AUGAACGCUGGCGGCGUGCUUAACACAUGCACGUCGAACGGAAAGGCCCAAGCUUGCUUGGGUACUCGAGUGGCGAACGGGUGAGUAACACGUGGAUGAUCUGCCCUGCACUUCGGGAUAAGCCUGGGAAACUGGGUCUAAUACCGGAUAGGACCACAUUUUGGAUGGUGUGGUGGAAAGUUUUUCGGUGUGGGAUGAGCUCGCGGCCUAUCAGCUUGUUGGUGGGGUAAUGGCCUACCAAGGCGUCGACGGGUAGCCGGCCUGAGAGGGUGUACGGCCACAUUGGGACUGAGAUACGGCCCAGACUCCUACGGGAGGCAGCAGUGGGGAAUAUUGCACAAUGGGCGCAAGCCUGAUGCAGCGACGCCGCGUGGGGGAUGACGGCCUUCGGGUUGUAAACUCCUUUCGCUAGGGACGAAGCGCAAGUGACGGUACCUGGAGAAGAAGCACCGGCUAGCUACGUG
RNAcentral lists this ribosomal RNA (464 nucleotides) under uncultured bacterium. RNAcentral's name for it is "partial 16S ribosomal RNA". It matches the Rfam family "Bacterial small subunit ribosomal RNA", at positions 29 to 507 of the family's 1533-position model. The record is from RNAcentral.